This 1987-nucleotide ribosomal RNA is filed under the name human gut metagenome. RNAcentral's name for it is "bacterial LSU rRNA". It matches the Rfam family "Bacterial large subunit ribosomal RNA", at positions 3 to 1987 of the family's 2925-position model. The record is from RNAcentral.
UUAAGUUAUUAAGGGCGCACGGUGGAUGCCUUGGCACUAGAAGCCGAUGAAGGACGUUACUAACGACGAUAUGCUUUGGGUAGCUGUAAGUAAGCGUUGAUCCAGAGAUUUCCGAAUGGGGGAACCCAGCACAAGUUAUGUUGUGUUAUCGACAUGUGAAUACAUAGCAUGUCCGAAGGCAGACGCGGAGAACUGAAACAUCUUAGUACCCGCAGGAAGAGAAAGAAAAAUCGAUUCCCUGAGUAGCGGCGAGCGAAACGGGAAGAGCCCAAACCAAUGAGCUUGCUCAUUGGGGUUGUAGGACACUCUAUACGGAGUUACAAAGGAAUAAAUUAGACGAAUCAUCUGGAAAGUUGAACCAGAGAAGGUAAAAGUCCUGUAGUCGAAAGUUUAUUCUCUCUUGAGUGGAUCCUGAGUACGACGGAGCACGUGGAAUUCCGUCGGAAUCCGGGAGGACCAUCUCCCAAGGCUAAAUACUCUCUAGUGACCGAUAGUGAACCAGUACCGUGAGGGAAAGGUGAAAAGUACCCCGGAAGGGGAGUGAAAGAGAACUUGAAACCGUGUGCUUACAAGUAGUCAGAGCCCGUUAAUGGGUGAUGGCGUGCCUUUUGUAGAAUGAACCGGCGAGUUACGAUCUGAUGCAAGGUUAAGCAGCAAAUGCGGAGCCGCAGCGAAAGCGAGUCUGAACAGGGCGUUGAGUAUUUGGUCGUAGACCCGAAACCAGGUGAUCUACCCUUGGUCAGGUUGAAGUUCAGGUAACACUGAAUGGAGGACCGAACCGACUUACGUUGAAAAGUGAGCGGAUGAACUGAGGGUAGCGGAGAAAUUCCAAUCGAACUUGGAGAUAGCUGGUUCUCUCCGAAAUAGCUUUAGGGCUAGCCUCAAGUGAUGAUUAUUGGAGGUAGAGCACUGUUUGGACGAGGGGCCCCUCUCGGGUUACCGAAUUCAGACAAACUCCGAAUGCCAAUUAAUUUAACUUGGGAGUCAGAACAUGGGUGAUAAGGUCCGUGUUCGAAAGGGAAACAGCCCAGACCACCAGCUAAGGUCCCAAAAUAUAUGUUAAGUGGAAAAGGAUGUGGCGUUGCCCAGACAACUAGGAUGUUGGCUUAGAAGCAGCCAUCAUUUAAAGAGUGCGUAAUAGCUCACUAGUCGAGUGACACUGCGCCGAAAAUGUACCGGGGCUAAACAUAUUACCGAAGCUGUGGAUUGUCCGUAGGACAAUGGUAGGAGAGCGUUCUAAGUGCGUCGAAGCAUGAUCGCAAGGACAUGUGGAGCGCUUAGAAGUGAGAAUGCCGGUGUGAGUAGCGAAAGAUGGGUGAGAAUCCCAUCCACCGAUUGACUAAGGUUUCCAGAGGAAGGCUCGUCCGCUCUGGGUUAGUCGGGUCCUAAGUCGAGGCCGACAGGCGUAGACGAUGGAUAACAGGUUGAUAUUCCUGUACCACCAUUUAUCGUUUUAAGCGAUGGGGGGACACAGUAGGAUAGGCGAAGCGUGCUGUUGGAGUGCACGUCUAAGCAGUGAGACUGAAUGGUAGGCAAAUCCGCCAUUCUCAAGGUUGAGCUGUGAUGGGGAGAGGAAACAUGUUUUCCUCGAGUCGUUGAUUUCACACUGUCGAGAAAAGCCUCUAGCUAGAUAACUGGUGCCCGUACCGCAAACCGACACAGGUAGUCAAGAUGAGAAUUCUAAGGUGAGCGAGCGAACUCUCGUUAAGGAACUCGGCAAAAUGACCCCGUAACUUCGGGAGAAGGGGUGCUCUUUAGGGUUCACGCCCAGAAGAGCCGCAGUGAAUAGGCCCAAGCGACUGUUUAUCAAAAACACAGGUCUCUGCUAAACCGUAAGGUGAUGUAUAGGGGCUGACGCCUGCCCGGUGCUGGAAGGUUAAGAGGAGUGGUUAGCUUCUGCGAAGCUACGAAUCGAAGCCCCAGUAAACGGCGGCCGUAACUAUAACGGUCCUAAGGUAGCGAAAUUCCUUGUCGGGUAAGUUCCGAC